Molecule: ribosomal RNA, 231 nt
Filed under: uncultured bacterium
Lineage: Bacteria
Description: partial 16S ribosomal RNA
Rfam family: Bacterial small subunit ribosomal RNA
Source: RNAcentral
GCAAGUCGAACGAGAAAGCACCUUCGGGUGUGAUUAAAGUGGCAAACGGAUGCGUAACACGUGGGAACCUACCUUAUAGUGCGGGACAACCAUUGGAAACGAUGGCUAAUACCGCAUACGCUCUACGGAGGAAAGAUUUAUCGCUAUAAGAUGGGCCCGCGGUUGAUUAGUUUGUUGGUGAGGUAAUGGCUCACCAAGACUACGAUCAAUAGCUGGUCUGAGAGGACGAUC